GAGAGAAGCCAUGGCCUUUAAAUGGAAGCACAUGGUCACCGAGAUAGAGUCCCCCUCUCCUUCUUCUCUACUUCUUCACGUGUGAUCCUCUUCUCCGCCUCCUUUUCCUCUCUCUUUGAGGUUUUGAUCUUUGGUUUUUUGGGUGUUGGUGAUGGAGGAGAAGAAGGGAACAGUUGGUUCACCGAAAGCUUCGAUCACGGAUGAGCUUUUUGGGAAGAAGGAUGCGGCGGAGAUCCUUGGGGCUGUUUUGUCACCACCGGUUCCUGCUCCGGUUGCUUCGGAUGGGGGAAAAGUUGGAAAGGAUUCACUGGGUUUUGAGAUUGCAUCAUCAAAGAAGCAAGCAACUGAGGACCAGGCUUGGAAGGCACAGAGCUUGACUGCUGAGGCCAAACCCCAAGGAGGGAGCUCAAGCAAAAGCCAGAAUGUUCCUUACCAAGAUAAGUACUGCAUUGAGGCAACAAUGGACACUUCUAGCCUGGGUUCGUCUCUGUAUUAUGGUGGCCCUGAUGUCUGUGCUGGCUUUUCAUCUCAAUACCCUCCCAAAAAGGAGGAUGAUGAUGACCAGGAAAAUGCGAACAUGGCUUCGAGGGGCAAUUGGUGGCAAGGUAUUAUAAGCACAUAUGGGAAGAAAGCUUUAUUAGAGUAUUGUAUAAAUAAAUGAAAAAACUCGAUUAAGAUUGAUGUUGUUUUCUUUUUCAGGAUCACUUUACUAUUGAUGGUUCUCGGGGAGUUAGCUCUCUGCUUAUAUGGCAAGAUACUUUUGGAGAGCAGUAGAAAUAGAUGGCUGCCGUAAAAUAAAUAAUUGGACAAUUAGCAAGGUCCUAUCUCAACAAAAACAAAGGUUCUUGUUUUUCUUCCCCCUUUUUGAGGAAGUCAUCACAAGAGCUCUGUAGUUCCUACCGUAUACUAUAUAUGAACCGUAUAUAUAUAUAUAUAUAUAUAGAUAGAGAGAGAGAGAGAAACAGCGCAUGUUGUGCAACAGUGUGAAUUUAAAGCAGCAGUUUUCUUUGUUUUUAGGCAGUCAUAUAUAUUGAUGUUAGUCUAUAGACCAUCUGUGUUACCCGGA
Dioscorea cayenensis subsp. rotundata (Guinea yam) is the source of this 1066-nucleotide RNA transcript. RefSeq lists it as uncharacterized. The record is from RefSeq and is a predicted model, not a curated record. NCBI's taxonomy places the organism in Eukaryota, Viridiplantae, Streptophyta, Magnoliopsida, Dioscoreales, Dioscoreaceae. The transcript has 5 exons.